AGGUCACUUCAAAGAGGGCUGUGUGCUGCUGAACAGACAGCUCUUAACGCAGUGACCUAAGACAGAAAUCCUUUGCAGGAUAUCAAGGGUACUUGGUGUACUCUGUGGUCUAUACCAGAGGAGACAAG
RNAcentral lists this small nucleolar RNA (128 nucleotides) under Salvator merianae (Argentine black and white tegu). RNAcentral describes it as "Small nucleolar RNA SNORA25 (ENSSMRG00000009807.1)". The record is from RNAcentral. Lineage: Eukaryota; Metazoa; Chordata; Lepidosauria; Squamata; Teiidae.